Molecule: unclassified non-coding RNA, 1084 nt
Filed under: Hevea brasiliensis (rubber tree)
Lineage: Eukaryota; Viridiplantae; Streptophyta; Magnoliopsida; Malpighiales; Euphorbiaceae
Source: RNAcentral
GACCCCAAUUUGCCCCAGCUUGUGCAAGAAAUUAAGGACAAACUUGUGAAGGGUACCGUUGAGUGUAUGAUCUGUUAUGAUAUGGUGCGGAGGUCAGCACCCAUUUGGUCUUGUUCAAGCUGUUAUUCCAUUUUUCAUUUGAAUUGCAUCAAGAAAUGGGCUCGUGCUCCAACUUCUAUUGAUUUGUCAGCUGAGAAGAGUCAGGGUUUUAAUUGGCGAUGCCCAGGUUGUCAGUCUGUGCAGCUUACAUCGUUGAGGGAGAUUCAAUAUGUUUGUUUUUGUGGGAAGAGGACUGACCCGCCUUCAGAUUUGUAUUUGACCCCACAUUCCUGUGGUGAACCAUGUGGAAAGCCACUUGAGAGGAGAGUUUCAGAUGCUGGUGAGAGCAAGGAGGAUCUUUGUCCUCAUGUUUGUGUUUUGCAAUGCCACCCAGGUCCCUGCCCUCCUUGUAAAGCAUUUGCUCCACCACGGGUGUGCCCUUGUGGGAAGAAAAUAAUCACAACAAGAUGCUCUGAUCGGAUGUCUGUACUUACUUGUGGUCAACGUUGUGAUAAGCUUCUUGAAUGUGGGCGUCAUCGGUGUGAGAAGAUAUGCCAUGUGGGUACUUGUGAUCCUUGUCAGGUUCUAGUAAAUGCUUCAUGUUUUUGCAAGCUAAAAGCAGAGGUUGUCCUAUGUGGAGACAUGGCUGUAAAAGGCGAGGUUAAAGCUGAAGAUGGUGUUUUUUCUUGUAACUCGACAUGCAGAAAGCUGUUGGGUUGUGGAAAUCAUGAGUGUGGCGAAACUUGCCAUCCAGGGCCUUGUGGGCAUUGUGACUUGAUGCCAGGCAGGGUGAAUUCGUGCUUUUGUGGGAAAAUGAGUUUACAGGAGGAAAGAAAGAGUUGUUUGGACCCAAUUCCAAAUUGUACACAAAUAUGUGGCAAACCCCUUCCUUGUGUGAUACACCACUGUAAGGAGGUCUGCCAUGCUGGGGAUUGUCCACCUUGUCUAGUUCUUGUCACCCAAAAAUGCCGCUGUGGAUCCACCUCUCGAACUGUGGAAUGCUACAAAACAAGUGCAGAGCAUGAAAAAUUUACAUGUGAGAAAU